This 396-nucleotide long non-coding RNA is filed under the name Equus caballus (horse). RNAcentral describes it as "lncRNA (ENSECAG00000028836.3)". Lineage: Eukaryota; Metazoa; Chordata; Mammalia; Perissodactyla; Equidae. The record is from RNAcentral.
GCCCUGGGGACUUUUUGUUUGUCCUCACCUUCUCCCAGCUGGAGCCAAGGUGUUUCACACGCACAGAGUGAGAAGGAGGAUAAAUCCUUCCUUGACAUCCACAGCCUGAUGCCUCUCCCUGACUCUGGUGUCAUCUCACCUACCCUCUUCCUUGUUCAGUACAGAUCACCUCGGCUUCACUUCCUAGAUUAGCAACUGCUGAGAAAUUCACCAGAACUUUUUUCCAGGAGGAAUAAUCCUAGCCCUGUCAUGCUCUCUGCAUAGACUUUUCAUUCCCCUCAUAUUCCUCUCCCUGUCCUUCUUAUUCUGAAGUCACUGAAAACAGGACUCAUCAUCGAACUCCAAGCACUAAUCAGGACAAGAGGCCCAGAGGCAGCAUGUUCUCCUGAGGCUGGU